AAUAACCAAAUAUAACACUCGGACUAAGGGGCAAAUUGGUAAUUUUUCUUACAUCUCCCCCAGGGGCCUAGGUAUCAUACACCGCCAAAAUAACUUUUCUCAAAU
This is a non-coding RNA of Triticum urartu, 105 nucleotides long. NCBI's taxonomy places the organism in Eukaryota, Viridiplantae, Streptophyta, Magnoliopsida, Poales, Poaceae. The record is from Rfam.